Molecule: ribosomal RNA, 1378 nt
Filed under: metagenome
Description: bacterial SSU rRNA
Rfam family: Bacterial small subunit ribosomal RNA
Source: RNAcentral
AGAAUUAACGCUGGUGGCGUGCAUAACACAUGCAAGUCGAACGAGAAUUAUAAUUUUCAAGUCUUCGGAUGAGAAAAUUAUGAGGAUAGUGGCAAACGGGUGAGUAAUACGUAGGUAAUCUACCUUUAAGUGGGGGAUAACUAAGCGAAAGCUUAGCUAAUACCCCAUAUGACCACGAUCUGGAUACAGAUUGAGGUAAAAGAUUUAUCGCUUAAAGAGGAGCCUGCGGUCUAUCAGCUAGUUGGUGAGGUAAUGGCUCACCAAGGCUACGACGGAUAUCCGGCCUGAAAGGGUGAACGGACACAUUGGAACUGAGACACGGUCCAGACUCCUACGGGAGGCAGCAGUGGGGAAUAUUGCGCAAUGGGGGCAACCCUGACGCAGCGACGCCAUGUGAAGGAUGAAGGUCUUAGGAUUGUAAACUUCUGUUAAGCGGGAAUAAGGUCUAGUUUACUAGACUUGACGGUACCGCUAGAGAAAGUACCGGCUAACUCCGUGCCAGCAGCCGCGGUAAUACGGAGGGUGCAAGCGUUAUUCGGAAUUACUAGGUGUAAAGGGCGCGUAGGCGGUUUGUUAAGUCAAAUGUUAAAUCCACUAGCUUAACUAGUUGGCUGCAUUUGAAGCUAAUAGACUUGAGUAUAGAAGAGGAAAAUGGAAUUCCUAGUGUAGCGGUGAAAUGCGUAGAUAUUAGGAGGAACACCAAUAGCGAAAGCAGUUUUCUGGUCUAUUACUGACGCUGAGGCGCGAAAGCUAGGGGAUCAAACAGGAUUAGAUACCCUGGUAGUCCUAGCUGUAAACUAUGUUCACUAGAUAUGGGGGGAGUAUUCCCUUCGUGUUGACGCUAACGCAUUAAGUGAACCACCUGGGGAGUACGGCCGCAAGGUUGAAACUCAAAGGAAUUGACGGGGGCCCGCACAAGCGGUGGAGUAUGUGGUUUAAUUCGAUCAACGCGAAAAACCUUACCUGGCUUGACAUGUAUUGGAAUAAUAUAGAAAUAUAUUAGUCUUCGGACCGAUACACAGGUGCUGCAUGGCUGUCGUCAGCUCGUGUCGUGAGAUGUUGGGUUAAGUCCCGCAACGAGCGCAACCCUUAUCUUUAGUUGCUAACCCUAAUUUAUUUAGGGAGGACUCUAAAGAAACUGCCUGGGACAACCAGGAGGAAGGUGGGGAUGACGUCAAGUCCUCAUGGCCCUUAUGCCCAGGGCUACACACGUACUACAAUGGUCGAUACAGAGGGCUGCAAGAUCGUAAGAUGGAGCUAAUCCCACAAAGUCGACCUCAGUUCAGAUUGAGGGCUGCAACUCGCCCUCAUGAAGGCGGAAUCGCUAGUAAUCGCAGAUCAGCACGCUGCGGUGAAUACGUUCCCGGGCCUUGUACAC